GCCUAGGAAUCUGCCUGGUAGUGGGGGAUAACGUCCGGAAACGGACGCUAAUACCGCAUACGUCCUACGGGAGAAAGCAGGGGACCUUCGGGCCUUGCGCUAUCAGAUGAGCCUAGGUCGGAUUAUCUAGUUGGUGGGGUAAUGGCUCACCAAGGCGACGAUCCGUAACUGGUCUGAGAGGAUGAUCAGUCACACUGGAACUGAGACACGGUCCAGACUCCUACGGGAGGCAGCAGUGGGGAAUAUUGGACAAUGGGCGAAAGCCUGAUCCAGCCAUGCCGCGUGUGUGAAGAAGGUCUUCGGAUUGUAAAGCACUUUAAGUUGGGAGGAAGGGCAGUAAAUUAAUACUUUGCUGUUUUGACGUUACCGACAGAAUAAGCACCGGCUAACUCUGUGCCAGCAGCCGCGGUAAUACAGAGGGUGCAAGCGUUAAUCGGAAUUACUGGGCGUAAAAGCGCGCGUAGGUGGUUCGUUAAAUUGGGAUGUGAAAUCCCCGGGCUCAACCUGGGAACUGCAUUCAAAACUGA
This 527-nucleotide ribosomal RNA is filed under the name uncultured bacterium. RNAcentral's name for it is "bacterial SSU rRNA". It matches the Rfam family "Bacterial small subunit ribosomal RNA", at positions 115 to 636 of the family's 1533-position model. The record is from RNAcentral.